Mauremys mutica (yellowpond turtle) is the source of this 582-nucleotide long non-coding RNA. RefSeq lists it as uncharacterized. NCBI's taxonomy places the organism in Eukaryota, Metazoa, Chordata, Testudines, Geoemydidae. The record is from RefSeq and is a predicted model, not a curated record. The transcript is spliced from 6 exons.
GAGAGAGCCUGGAUUGGGGUGUUUGACCCUGCCCUGCAUCAGGAGUUCUGGGAAGGGGUGGAUUUUGACUAGAGGAGGACAGGAUGACAUUGACAGAAGAUCUGGGAACCAAAACUGUCUGGACGCAUAGGAUUUUCUGAAAGGCUGAAGCAGGAGAGGACACUGGAUUCCAAUGCAGACCAUGAGAUGAUAAGAUGGCAAGGUUCAUUUCCUGUGCAGCUUUGAAAGAUGUGCACGGUUAUGUUCAAGUGGGCAUCAAAGGGAAAGAGCUUGAAAGGAAAAAAGGAUGAGGAGAGAGAGAGAGAGAACGAGCAAGACUCAGUCACUCACUAGGGAUAAAGGGUCAGUAAAAGCUCCUAAAAGUUUAUCCUGGCUGCUUCCUCAGAACCCCUGCUGGAAAGAGCUCUCUUGCAUCCAAUAAGUUCCACGUCGCCAGAAGGCAACAUCGUGAUCUUCAUGCACCCAGUGCUCACUACAAGACAGCAGGAAGAUGGCUGAGCUAACUCUGAGCCUUUCAGAAUCCUGAGUUCUGACUGGUUAUUUCUGUCAUGUCUUCCUCCCAGAAAUGGGGCCUGAAUGGGA